AGGAAAAAUAAAAGGAUCCUAACAAUCCUGCCUCCUUCAAUUCAGCCUUGUCCUCAAGGCUGAGCAGCAUCAAAUUCUGGAAACUUCUCCUUUAGCAUGUUGUAGGACUCCCAAGUGGCAUCUUCCUUUGGUAAGUUGGCCCAUUGCACCAGCACUUCAGUUACAGGAUGUAUGCGGUACAUUACAACUCGUCGAUCAAGUAU
This 203-nucleotide long non-coding RNA is filed under the name Musa acuminata (dwarf banana). RNAcentral describes it as "long non-coding RNA (MACU_LNC004625)". Lineage: Eukaryota; Viridiplantae; Streptophyta; Magnoliopsida; Zingiberales; Musaceae. The record is from RNAcentral.